RNAcentral lists this ribosomal RNA (600 nucleotides) under Bacillus sp. 16L. Its description in RNAcentral is "bacterial SSU rRNA". It matches the Rfam family "Bacterial small subunit ribosomal RNA", at positions 119 to 705 of the family's 1533-position model. Lineage: Bacteria; Bacillati; Bacillota; Bacilli; Caryophanales; Bacillaceae. The record is from RNAcentral.
GGGCAACCUGCCUAUAAGACUGGGAUAACUUCGGGAAACCGGAGCUAAUACCGGAUACGUUCUUUUCUCGCAUGAGAGAAGAUGGAAAGACGGUUUACGCUGUCACUUAUAGAUGGGCCCGCGGCGCAUUAGCUAGUUGGUGAGGUAAUGGCUCACCAAGGCGACGAUGCGUAGCCGACCUGAGAGGGUGAUCGGCCACACUGGGACUGAGACACGGCCCAGACUCCUACGGGAGGCAGCAGUAGGGAAUCUUCCGCAAUGGACGAAAGUCUGACGGAGCAACGCCGCGUGAACGAAGAAGGCCUUCGGGUCGUAAAGUUCUGUUGUUAGGGAAGAACAAGUACCAGAGUAACUGCUGGUACCUUGACGGUACCUAACCAGAAAGCCACGGCUAACUACGUGCCAGCAGCCGCGGUAAUACGUAGGUGGCAAGCGUUGUCCGGAAUUAUUGGGCGUAAAGCGCGCGCAGGUGGUUCCUUAAGUCUGAUGUGAAAGCCCACGGCUCAACCGUGGAGGGUCAUUGGAAACUGGGGAACUUGAGUGCAGAAGAGGAAAGUGGAAUUCCAAGUGUAGCGGUGAAAUGCGUAGAGAUUUGGAGGA